This 471-nucleotide ribosomal RNA is filed under the name uncultured bacterium. Its description in RNAcentral is "bacterial SSU rRNA". It matches the Rfam family "Bacterial small subunit ribosomal RNA", at positions 335 to 799 of the family's 1533-position model. The record is from RNAcentral.
ACUCCUACGGGAGGCAGCAGUGGGGAAUAUUGCACAAUGGGCGCAAGCCUGAUGCAGCCAUGCCGCGUGUAUGAAGAAGGCCUUCGGGUUGUAAAGUACUUUCAGCAGUGAGGAAGGCAGGUACGUUAAUAGCGUGCUUGUUUGACGUUAGCUGCAGAAGAAGCACCGGCUAACUCCGUGCCAGCAGCCGCGGUAAUACGGAGGGUGCGAGCGUUAAUCGGAAUUACUGGGCGUAAAGCGCAUGCAGGUGGUUCGUUAAGUCAGAUGUGAAAGCCCGGGGCUCAACCUCGGAAUUGCAUUUGAAACUGGCGGACUAGAGUACUGUAGAGGGGGGUAGAAUUUCAGGUGUAGCGGUGAAAUGCGUAGAGAUCUGAAGGAUACCGGUGGCGAAGGCGGCCCCUGGACAGAUACUGACACUCAGAUGCGAAAGCGUGGGGAGCAAACAGGAUUAGAUACCCUGGUAGGAUAGCG